UCUGUUUGCAGAGGCCCCAUCAAUGAACAAAUGCAGACAACUCUUCCUGGAGUUUUGCAUUAAAGACAAGAAGCUGGGGGCACAGCGAGGGGGACAUGAGGUCAAGGCGCUGCUGCUUUGUUAGGUCUGAGUUCCUCUGCUGGUCCAGGAGGGUCUCAGUGCGGUGGGACAAACUCGUUCCAUUGGUGGAUGGAGACACACCCAGUGUGGACAGAGGCUGCAAGCAUCAGAGGGCGUGUCCAUGCGGCAGUAUUGGUGUCAUGGCCAUAAGCUUGGCACUUCCUACAGACUCCGGCCUUGCAUUUUCAGCAGCUGGAGCUGUUCACAGCAUCCUUCUCACAGGAGUUUUGGGAGCACAACCAGGUGGGGUAUGCUUGAAAGCCUUAGAGUGAGGACCAGCACACCCACCCUCCUGGUGUCCCAUGCAAAGCUGCUGAAGGGGCUGCUGUGGCUGAAAU
RNAcentral lists this long non-coding RNA (458 nucleotides) under Pan troglodytes (chimpanzee). RNAcentral describes it as "long non-coding RNA NONPTRT009032". The record is from RNAcentral. Lineage: Eukaryota; Metazoa; Chordata; Mammalia; Primates; Hominidae.